UGGGGAAUAUUGCACAAUGGGCGCAAGCCUGAUGCAGCCAUGCCGCGUGUGUGAAGAAGGCCUUCGGGUUGUAAAGCACUUUCAGCGGGGAGGAAGGCGGUGAGGUUAAUAACCUCAUCGAUUGACGUUACCCGCAGAAGAAGCACCGGCUAACUCCGUGCCAGCAGCCGCGGUAAUACGGAGGGUGCAAGCGUUAAUCGGAAUUACUGGGCGUAAAGCGCACGCCGGCGGUCUGUCAAGUCGGAUGUGAAAUCCCCGGGCUCAACCUGGGAACUGCAUUCGAAACUGGCAGGCUAGAGUCUUGUAGAGGGGGGUAGAAUUCCAGGUGUAGCGGUGAAAUGCGUAGAGAUCUGGAGGAAUACCGGUGGCGAAGGCGGCCCCCUGGACAAAGACUGACGCUCAGGUGCGAAAGCGUGGGGAGCAAACAGG
Molecule: ribosomal RNA, 429 nt
Filed under: Chloroflexota bacterium
Lineage: Bacteria; Bacillati; Chloroflexota
Description: Chloroflexi bacterium partial 16S ribosomal RNA
Rfam family: Bacterial small subunit ribosomal RNA
Source: RNAcentral